RNAcentral lists this transfer RNA (73 nucleotides) under bacterium. Its description in RNAcentral is "tRNA-Ile". It matches the Rfam family "tRNA". From Rfam's summary of the family: Transfer RNA (tRNA) molecules are approximately 80 nucleotides in length. Their secondary structure includes four short double-helical elements and three loops (D, anti-codon, and T loops). The record is from RNAcentral.
UGUCCUAUAGCUCAGUGGUUAGAGCGGUGGCCUUAUAAGCCAUGUGUCAAGGGUUCGACUCCCUUUAGGGCAA